This 253-nucleotide ribosomal RNA is filed under the name uncultured bacterium. RNAcentral's name for it is "partial 16S ribosomal RNA". It matches the Rfam family "Bacterial small subunit ribosomal RNA", at positions 524 to 776 of the family's 1533-position model. The record is from RNAcentral.
UACGUAGGGGGCAAGCGUUGUCCGGAUUUACUGGGCGUAAAGCGCGCGUAGGCGGAGUGGGAAGUCCGGUGUGAAAGCCCCCGGCUCAACCGGGGAAGGUCGCUGGAAACUCUCACUCUUGAGGCGGAUAGAGGGAAGUGGAAUUGCUGGUGUAGCGGUGAAAUGCGUAGAUAUCAGCAGGAACACCCGUGGCGAAGGCGGCUUCCUGGAUCCGACCUGACGCUGAGGCGCGAAAGCGUGGGGAGCGAACGGG